Molecule: small nucleolar RNA, 203 nt
Organism: Lates calcarifer (barramundi perch)
Lineage: Eukaryota; Metazoa; Chordata; Actinopteri; Centropomidae
Source: Ensembl
AACACGCUCCUUAGAUCCACCUCUGGAGGGCGCUGUGCUCUGAGCAGAGCUCCUCAGCAGCUUUCUGGCUGUACAGUUGGAGGUGCUUGAGUCAUUGGCGUGUGAGAACAGUCUACCUGUCCCCCAGCCCACCUGCAUCACUGGCAACCCUGUCCUCUACAGACAGGGAGCUCCCAGUGCUGUAAACCUGGGGGACGGACAUG